GUGUCAGCAGCCGCGGUAAUACGGAGGGGGCUAGCGUUGUUCGGAAUUACUGGGCGUAAAGCGCACGUAGGCGGACGGUCAAGUUGGGGGUGAAAGCCCGAGGCUCAACCUCGGAAUUGCCUUCAAAACUGAUCGUCUCGAGGCCGGGAGAGGGCAGUGGAAUUCCCAGUGUAGAGGUGAAAUUCGUAGAUAUUGGGAAGAACACCGGUGGCGAAGGCGGCUGCCUGGCCCGGACCUGACGCUGAGGUGCGAAAGCGUGGGGAGCGAACAGGAUUAGAUACCCUGGUAGUCCACGCCGUAAACGAUGGGUGCUAGGUGUCGGAGGACUUAGUUCUUCGGUGCCGCAGCUAACGCGUUAAGCACCCCGCCUGGGGAGUACGGCCGCAAGGCUAAAACUUAAAUGAAUUGACGGGG
Molecule: ribosomal RNA, 414 nt
Filed under: uncultured prokaryote
Description: bacterial SSU rRNA
Rfam family: Bacterial small subunit ribosomal RNA
Source: RNAcentral